RNAcentral lists this ribosomal RNA (400 nucleotides) under uncultured bacterium. Its description in RNAcentral is "bacterial SSU rRNA". It matches the Rfam family "Bacterial small subunit ribosomal RNA", at positions 355 to 771 of the family's 1533-position model. The record is from RNAcentral.
UAGGGAAUAUUGCAUAAUGGGCGAAAGCCUGAUGCAGCAACGCCGCGUGUGCGAUGACGGCCUUCGGGUUGUAAAGCACUUUUGGAAGGGAUGAGGAAGGACAGUACCUUCUGAAUAAGCCUCGGCUAACUACGUGCCAGCAGCCGCGGUAAAACGUAGGAGGCGAGCGUUAUCCGGAUUUACUGGGCGUAAAGCGCGUGCAGGCGGUUCGGUAAGUUGGAUGUGAAAGCUCCUGGCUUAACUGGGAGAGGUCGUUCAAUACUACCGGACUUGAGUGUGGGAGAGGGAGGUGGAAUUCCGGGUGUAGUGGUGAAAUGCGUAGAUAUCCGGAGGAACACCAGUGGCGAAAGCGGCCUCCUGGCCCAAUACUGACGCUCAGACGCGAAAGCUAGGGGAGCGA